RNAcentral lists this ribosomal RNA (192 nucleotides) under uncultured bacterium. Its description in RNAcentral is "partial 16S ribosomal RNA". It matches the Rfam family "Bacterial small subunit ribosomal RNA", at positions 338 to 523 of the family's 1533-position model. The record is from RNAcentral.
CCUACGGGAGGCAGCAGUAGGGAAUCUUCCGCAAUGGACGAAAGUCUGACGGAGCAACGCCGCGUGAGCGAUGAAGGCCUUCGGGUCGUAAAGUUCUGUUGUUAGGGAAGAACAAGUAUCAGUUAACUGCUGGUACCUUGACGGUACCUAACGAGAAAGCCACGGCUAACUACGUGCCAGCAGCCGCGGUAA